GGAAAAUAGGAAGGGUUGGAGAAACCAGGAAACCCUGGGCCAGAGACAAAGGCGUUUUAUUACGACGAAGGUAACCAUCAGAGGUGCAUCCGAGCACCCCUCAGGUAAUGCAGUGGGAGUGGGCACCUGCAUGGGCAGUGGAGGUAUUGUACAAAUGAUUGUCAUAGAUUUAGGAGGCUGUAGUCUUAGAUAAAGGAUUGCUGGCAAAUAAGCCCAUCCUCCCUUCUUGAUGGAAUCUAUUACAUCCCAAGGAGGUAAGCAUCUAUCUUCAGUGUCUCUGAAUGUUUUAUAAGAGAGUUACUAUCAUCUAAUUUUCCUUUUCAGGCUGUCCGCCGAUGCAGACGUUGAAGACAAGACUGAACUGUGUGGGUCAUUAAUGAGUGAAUGUGCAGGAACGCAGAGAGUCGUGGAGAAGCAUCUCCCAGUACUGUGCAACUACAAGUAGAACCUCUUUUUGUCAGCCUUCAAUUCAACUCAAGGAACCAGGAACCAAGGAGGAAGGAAGUAAUUGACAUUCAAAGCCUCUAUUUUUAGACACCUUUACACUUUCCUUUGCUUCUAACUAGCGAGGAUUUUUCCAAACAAGCUUUUAAUU
RNAcentral lists this long non-coding RNA (595 nucleotides) under Oryctolagus cuniculus (rabbit). RNAcentral's name for it is "lncRNA (ENSOCUG00000036300.1)". The record is from RNAcentral. Lineage: Eukaryota; Metazoa; Chordata; Mammalia; Lagomorpha; Leporidae.